RNAcentral lists this transfer RNA (85 nucleotides) under Candidatus Kaiserbacteria bacterium RIFCSPHIGHO2_01_FULL_54_36b. RNAcentral's name for it is "tRNA-Leu". It matches the Rfam family "tRNA". Rfam says of the family: Transfer RNA (tRNA) molecules are approximately 80 nucleotides in length. Their secondary structure includes four short double-helical elements and three loops (D, anti-codon, and T loops). Lineage: Bacteria; Candidatus Kaiseribacteriota. RNAcentral also lists the same sequence under 1 other name. The record is from RNAcentral.
GGGCCAGUGGCGGAAUUGGUAUACGCGCACGACUUAAGAUCGUGUCCCGCAAGGGAUGUGGGUUCGAUGCCCACCUGGCCCACCG